UGGACUAGGGAAAGAUGGACACUACCAAGUUUUUCAUUAAUAUGGAACUUACAUUUUUCAGCUGUGUUCCAAGUAACCUCAAGAUACAAUGCUUUAAAAGGAUAGAAUUCGGAUUCAUGACUUGGAAGUGACCAGAAACCAUAUUUUCUAAUAGACUAAUCAGAACCAAUACUCUGACAAGUGGCCUGACUUCAAGCAGGAGUGUGAGGAGGAAUAUAGCUUUUCUUGAUGAAUGAAUUCCCCAAAAAUAUGAGCUCUAUGAAGAAAGAAGGGUAGGGUUUAUUCCCCAUCUCUCCACCUCUUAGAGGGUACAGAAGAAAGCCUGGCCAUCAUUUGACCAGCAAGAGUUGCUUCUGCUCCAUCUUCAUUACUGGACAAGCCAGCAGACACAGCAUUGAAGUGUUGCUGUGCAGCAGCCA
Molecule: non-coding RNA, 419 nt
Organism: Ictidomys tridecemlineatus (thirteen-lined ground squirrel)
Lineage: Eukaryota; Metazoa; Chordata; Mammalia; Rodentia; Sciuridae
Source: RefSeq, a predicted model, not a curated record